UACAGAGGGUGCGAGCGUUAAUCGGAAUUACUGGGCGUAAAGCGUGCGUAGGCGGCUAUCUAAGUCGGGCGUGAAAGCCCCGGGCUCAACCUGGGAAUUGCAUUCGAGACUGAAUAGCUAGGGUACGGUAGAGGGAAGUGGAAUUUCCGGUGUAGCGGUGAAAUGCGUAGAUAUCGGAAGGAACAUCAGUGGCGAAAGCGACUUCCUGGACCAGUACCGACGUUCAGGCACGAAAGCGUGGGGAGCAAACAGG
This 253-nucleotide ribosomal RNA is filed under the name uncultured bacterium. RNAcentral's name for it is "partial 16S ribosomal RNA". It matches the Rfam family "Bacterial small subunit ribosomal RNA", at positions 524 to 776 of the family's 1533-position model. The record is from RNAcentral.